This 687-nucleotide ribosomal RNA is filed under the name Bacillus amyloliquefaciens. RNAcentral's name for it is "bacterial SSU rRNA". It matches the Rfam family "Bacterial small subunit ribosomal RNA", at positions 57 to 727 of the family's 1533-position model. The record is from RNAcentral. Lineage: Bacteria; Bacillati; Bacillota; Bacilli; Caryophanales; Bacillaceae.
GCAGUCGAGCGGACAGAUGGGAGCUUGCUCCCUGAUGUUAGCGGCGGACGGGUGAGUAACACGUGGGUAACCUGCCUGUAAGACUGGGAUAACUCCGGGAAACCGGGGCUAAUACCGGAUGGUUGUCUGAACCGCAUGGUUCAGACAUAAAAGGUGGCUUCGGCUACCACUUACAGAUGGACCCGCGGCGCAUUAGCUAGUUGGUGAGGUAACGGCUCACCAAGGCGACGAUGCGUAGCCGACCUGAGAGGGUGAUCGGCCACACUGGGACUGAGACACGGCCCAGACUCCUACGGGAGGCAGCAGUAGGGAAUCUUCCGCAAUGGACGAAAGUCUGACGGAGCAACGCCGCGUGAGUGAUGAAGGUUUUCGGAUCGUAAAGCUCUGUUGUUAGGGAAGAACAAGUGCCGUUCAAAUAGGGCGGCACCUUGACGGUACCUAACCAGAAAGCCACGGCUAACUACGUGCCAGCAGCCGCGGUAAUACGUAGGUGGCAAGCGUUGUCCGGAAUUAUUGGGCGUAAAGGGCUCGCAGGCGGUUUCUUAAGUCUGAUGUGAAAGCCCCCGGCUCAACCGGGGAGGGUCAUUGGAAACUGGGGAACUUGAGUGCAGAAGAGGAGAGUGGAAUUCCACGUGUAGCGGUGAAAUGCGUAGAGAUGUGGAGGAACACCAGUGGCGAAGGCGACUC